UACGGAAGGUAGCAGUGGGGAAUAUUGGACAAUGGGCGAAAGCCUGAUCCAGCCAUGCCGCAUGAGUGAAGAAGGCCUUCGGGUUGUAAAGCUCUUUUAGUGAGAAAGAUAAUGACGGUACUCACAGAAGAAGUCCUGGCUAACUCCGUGCCAGCAGCCGCGGUAAUACGGAGAGGGCUAGCGUUAUUCGGAAUUAUUGGGCGUAAAGAGCGCGUAGGCUGAUUAGUAAGUUAAAAGUGAAAUCCCAAAGCUUAACUUUGGAAUUGCUUUUUAAAACUGCUAGUCUAGAGAUUGAAAGAGGAUAGAGGAAUUCCUAGUGUAGAGGUGAAAUUCGUAAAUAUUAGGAGGAACACCAGUGGCGAAGGCGUCUAUCUGGUUCAAAUCUGACGCUGAGGCGCGAAGGGCGUGGGGAGCAAACAGGGAUUAGAUACC
Molecule: ribosomal RNA, 432 nt
Filed under: uncultured bacterium
Lineage: Bacteria
Description: bacterial SSU rRNA
Rfam family: Bacterial small subunit ribosomal RNA
Source: RNAcentral